AUCAACGCUGGCGGCGUGCCUAACACAUGCAAGUCGAACGCGAAAGCCCCUUUCGGGGUAAGUAGAGUGGCGUCCGGGUGAGUAACACGUAGGUAAUCUACCUUCGGGUGGGAAUAACUCGCCGAAAGGCGAGCUAAUACCGCAUAAUGCAGCGGCACCUAAUGGUGAUUAGUUGUUAAAGCGGGGGAUCGUAAGACCUCGCGCCUGAAGAGGAGCCUGCGGCAGAUUAGCUAGNGGUGAGGUAAUGGCUCACCAAGGCUUCGAUCUGUAGCUGGUCUGAGAGGACGGCCAGCCACACUGGCACUGACACACGGGCCAGACUCCUACGGGAGGCAGCAGUGGGGAAUUUUGGGCAAUGGGCGCAAGCCUGACCCAGCAACGCCGCGUGAGGGAGGAAAUCC
RNAcentral lists this ribosomal RNA (401 nucleotides) under uncultured bacterium. RNAcentral describes it as "bacterial SSU rRNA". It matches the Rfam family "Bacterial small subunit ribosomal RNA", at positions 32 to 416 of the family's 1533-position model. The record is from RNAcentral.